CACCACGUUACCUGCCGGUUUGACCUGCUGUAGAUCCUUGAACAUGGAGGACAUAAUCAAGAAUUUUGUUGAAGCCAAUUAUAGGAUGGUACAGUUCUGACUGCAUUAAGAAACACUACAAGUCACAGUGUCUCACCAUCAUGGCCUCCUGAGCUGUAAGAUGGGGCAGCAGUUUAUCUUCCUGCAUGAUGUAACAUGACAUUUUGCGAAAGGUGUGAAGAUCUCUGGGCUUUCCAUUUACCAGGAUUCGUCCUGUCAUCCCUGUUUCUCUACCACACAUUUGCAUGCCAGCACAGAAAGCCAGCCAGGAUGUUCAUCAGAGUGGACUUUCCAGCCCCUGAGGGGCCCAUGAUCCCAAUCAACUCCCGGCUCCAGAACCUUCCAGAGAGGCACUUGAGUAAGGCCCUGUAACCUGAAAUGAAACAGAGUAGAAGCCCA
Molecule: long non-coding RNA, 438 nt
Organism: Pangasianodon hypophthalmus (striped catfish)
Lineage: Eukaryota; Metazoa; Chordata; Actinopteri; Siluriformes; Pangasiidae
Exons: 3
Source: RefSeq, a predicted model, not a curated record